Molecule: ribosomal RNA, 433 nt
Filed under: uncultured bacterium
Lineage: Bacteria
Description: partial 16S ribosomal RNA
Rfam family: Bacterial small subunit ribosomal RNA
Source: RNAcentral
AACGAACGCUGGCGGCAUGCCUAACACAUGCAGGUCGAACGAGACCUUCGGGUCUAGUGGCGCACGGGUGCGUAACGCGUGGGAACCUGCCCUUAGGUUCGGAAUAACUCCCCGAAAGGGGUGCUAAUACCGGAUAAUGUCUUCGGACCAAAGAUUUAUCGCCUUUGGAUGGGCCCGCGUUGGAUUAGCUAGUUGGUAGGGUAAAAGCCUACCAAGGCGACGAUCCAUAGCUGGUCUGAGAGGAUGAUCAGCCACACUGGGACUGAGACACGGCCCAGACUCCUACGGGAGGCAGCAGUGGGGAAUAUUGGACAAUGGGCGAAAGCCUGAUCCAGCAAUGCCGCGUGAGUGAUGAAGGCCUUAGGGUUGUAAAGCUCUUUUACCCGGGAUGAUAAUGACAGUACCAGGAGAAUAAGCUCCGGCUAACUCCGUG